AGCUAUUAGAGCUCUUUAAUAUUUUUUUCCCAGCAGGUUUUCUGACUCUGGUUGGAAAACCCAA
Small nuclear RNA from Arvicanthis niloticus (Nile rat), 64 nucleotides. RefSeq annotates it as U7 small nuclear RNA. Lineage: Eukaryota; Metazoa; Chordata; Mammalia; Rodentia; Muridae. The record is from RefSeq and is a predicted model, not a curated record.